AGAUUGAACGCUGGCGGCAGGCCUAACACAUGCAAGUCGAGCGGCAGCACGGGUACGUGUACCUGGUGGCGAGCGGCGGACGGGUGAGUAAUGCCUAGGAAUCUGCCUGAUAGUGGGGGAUAACGGUUCGGAAACGGACGCUAAUACCGCAUACGUCCUACAGGAGAAAGUGGGGAUCUUCGGACCUCACGCUAUCA
Molecule: ribosomal RNA, 197 nt
Filed under: uncultured soil bacterium
Lineage: Bacteria
Description: partial 16S ribosomal RNA
Rfam family: Bacterial small subunit ribosomal RNA
Source: RNAcentral